UCCAGACUUAGCCAAAUUUUCAGCUUUUUCACCGUUUUAGCUCCGUUUUCGCUCGUUUUCGCUCGUUUUCGCUCGUUUGACCUCCGAUUCUUUUCAAAUCGAACCGAGACUCUCCAAACAUAUUUUCGAACAUGUUUUCAUCAUCUUUUCAUUCCCGCUAAUGCCGGAUUUAGUUCAUGGUCCGACAUAGCCUUUCGGGUCCCGUUUUCGUGCCUACGCGCACCGAAUCGUCCGGAUGCUUCCAAACUUCACCGAACUUCACCGGAACCCUUCAAAUGGCUCUCCAACCAAAUUUACACCAUAACUUCAUAAUUUUAGAAGUCCGGUACCUUACACUAGGGUUGAGUCUUAGUGGACCUAGCAAACCUUAGGCCGGUUGGACCGUAGGAAAUAGGCUCGUGAGAGACGAGGUCUAUUUGAUUCGUAAGCGAAAGUAUC
Molecule: long non-coding RNA, 438 nt
Filed under: Ananas comosus (pineapple)
Lineage: Eukaryota; Viridiplantae; Streptophyta; Magnoliopsida; Poales; Bromeliaceae
Description: long non-coding RNA (ACOM_LNC039218)
Source: RNAcentral